UCAAAUAUUUGCCUAAAAUAGACUCAGUAACAAGGAAAAGGCAAGGAAAAAAAAGGCAUUCCUAAAAGGCAGAGGGCUUCAUUACUCCAGUAAAAAUUGUCUUCUCUGACCUCAGGCGCCUGACUCAGCAUUUUCCAAGUCGAUAUUUUACAGUAAUAAAAGGGAGAGAGCACCAGGAGGAAAGGCACAAGAACAGCCCCUCUGGUCAAACACAGGCUUAAGGAUACCUCUCCUCCCUGUGAGGGUCUGGUGCUGUGUCCAGAGCUGUGUUCAGAUGCACCACGUAACCCCAAGAGUCUGCCUCCCUCCCUGGAACUCCCACUGGGAAAUCUGUGUGCACAGGAGGAGCUGGGACCCAGUACAAAUAUCAGAGCUACCCUGACAUGAAAUCAGAUCCACGAGAGCAGGUCAUGGAAAGGCAGAGACAGCCCAGGGACUGAGUGAUCUGCCAGAGACAGGGGCUGUGGUUGGUACCUGCAGACACUCCUGCCCCACCAUAGACAAAUGCCCAGCAAACCACAAACCUCACAUCCCCUGUGUGGAGGAGGAAAAUCCUGGAGCACUGUCCUCUCAAGGUGAAAAACUAAUUAACUUCUCUAAACUGCCUGAGAUGUCUACAGUGUAAAAGUGGCAAAUAUUCAGACAUCUCUGUUGCUUUGAAUGGGAUGGGCAAAACUCCCAGUAUCAUCUCAGGGCUUUCAAACACUGUUGUUUCUGUCUCCAUAGUUUUUUUAAGGAAACGAGAGAUCACAGAAUUUAUUUAUUCUUCCCCCAACUCUGCUUUUUCCUUUCUUUUUCC
Molecule: long non-coding RNA, 799 nt
Organism: Passer domesticus (house sparrow)
Lineage: Eukaryota; Metazoa; Chordata; Aves; Passeriformes; Passeridae
Exons: 3
Source: RefSeq, a predicted model, not a curated record